This 1219-nucleotide ribosomal RNA is filed under the name Lactiplantibacillus plantarum. RNAcentral describes it as "bacterial SSU rRNA". It matches the Rfam family "Bacterial small subunit ribosomal RNA", at positions 38 to 1223 of the family's 1533-position model. The record is from RNAcentral. Lineage: Bacteria; Bacillati; Bacillota; Bacilli; Lactobacillales; Lactobacillaceae.
GGGGGGGGGCGCCUAUAAUGCAGUCGACGAACUCUGGUAUUGAUUGGUGCUUGCAUCAUGAUUUACAUUUGAGUGAGUGGCGAACUGGUGAGUAACACGUGGGAAACCUGCCCAGAAGCGGGGGAUAACACCUGGAAACAGAUGCUAAUACCGCAUAACAACUUGGACCGCAUGGUCCGAGUUUGAAAGAUGGCUUCGGCUAUCACUUUUGGAUGGUCCCGCGGCGUAUUAGCUAGAUGGUGAGGUAACGGCUCACCAUGGCAAUGAUACGUAGCCGACCUGAGAGGGUAAUCGGCCACAUUGGGACUGAGACACGGCCCAAACUCCUACGGGAGGCAGCAGUAGGGAAUCUUCCACAAUGGACGAAAGUCUGAUGGAGCAACGCCGCGUGAGUGAAGAAGGGUUUCGGCUCGUAAAACUCUGUUGUUAAAGAAGAACAUAUCUGAGAGUAACUGUUCAGGUAUUGACGGUAUUUAACCAGAAAGCCACGGCUAACUACGUGCCAGCAGCCGCGGUAAUACGUAGGUGGCAAGCGUUGUCCGGAUUUAUUGGGCGUAAAGCGAGCGCAGGCGGUUUUUUAAGUCUGAUGUGAAAGCCUUCGGCUCAACCGAAGAAGUGCAUCGGAAACUGGGAAACUUGAGUGCAGAAGAGGACAGUGGAACUCCAUGUGUAGCGGUGAAAUGCGUAGAUAUAUGGAAGAACACCAGUGGCGAAGGCGGCUGUCUGGUCUGUAACUGACGCUGAGGCUCGAAAGUAUGGGUAGCAAACAGGAUUAGAUACCCUGGUAGUCCAUACCGUAAACGAUGAAUGCUAAGUGUUGGAGGGUUUCCGCCCUUCAGUGCUGCAGCUAACGCAUUAAGCAUUCCGCCUGGGGAGUACGGCCGCAAGGCUGAAACUCAAAGGAAUUGACGGGGGCCCGCACAAGCGGUGGAGCAUGUGGUUUAAUUCGAAGCUACGCGAAGAACCUUACCAGGUCUUGACAUACUAUGCAAAUCUAAGAGAUUAGACGUUUCCCUUCGGGGACAUGGAUACAGGUGGUGCAUGAUUGUCGUCAGCUCGUGUCGUGAGAUGUUGGGUUAGUCCUGCAACGAGCGCAACCCUUUAUUAUCAGCUGCAGCAUCAGUUGGGCACUUCUGUUGAGACUGCGGUGACAACCGGCAGGAGUGGGAAUGAACGUUCAAUUCAUUCAUGCCCUUUAUUGACCUUGGGGCCCUUACGC